UUUUGAAGAAGCCAUUGUCUCAGAAGGCUCCUUCAUCUUCUCAGCCUACCCUUUCACCAUUCCCUUCUGAUUCAACAAAUCAGCAGAAAAAUGAUAGCUAUUUUUUGGUUGAGAAGGGCGCAUCCAAUUACAAGAUUCCUAAGGAUGUUGAAGAUUUGGUUAAGAAAGACAUUGUGCCUGAUGUUUUGAAGAAGCCAUUGUCUCCGUCGACUUACAAAGACUACUUUGCUGCUCUGCUGUACGCUGAGGAUUUCUACAUUGAGGUGAUUAAUUAACAGUGACCUUUUUGCAUGUUGUUCUCUAUAUUAUCAUUUUGUGUGUGUUUAUUUUCAAGCUAGAACCAACAUAAAACUCAUUUUCAAAAAAAAAAUAUCAACAUAAAACUCAUAAAAUCUGAAUUUAGAUACAUACUCGGAUUAUGUGCGAAAAAUCGACAAAUCAAGGUUGUGCUACUGAAUUCUAGUUAGAGGAUGAUCACAAAGCUGGAAAAUCCCCGCAGAUCACGUUGCAAGAACCCUCUAAGCUUCUCUUGGCUCGAAUUCUCUCAAAUUGCACUCUUUAGCUCAAUGGCUUGUCCCUAGCUUGUCUCUUGUACCUUUCUCCAUGGAUUUACUCUUUAUUUAUAGCAUUCCAAGAGUAGUGAAUCAUCACUAAAUAAGGUUAAACUAUUGUUGGAGUCAUCUUCCACUCAGUGAUCACUUAAUAUCUUAGGAUAUUAUAUCAUUCCACUCAAAAUUGAUCACUUAAUUCUUGGUCUCCUCAUGGGUGACCUCAAAAUGAUAGAACCCUAAUGUACAUGUAUAUCUAUUUACAUACACAUACACAUACACAUACACAUACAUAUACAUAUACAUAUACAUAUAACUUCUUUGCUACCAAUUGUAUAUUGUGUACUGUGGCUGUUCAGUGGAAGAUGCUUUUUUUGUGUUUAGUGCAGUACUAUCCCCUUUGCAAUGUUAGUUUACCUUGUAUCCGAUAAAACAUCAUGUGGGUGAUGUAUUUAGCAAUCAUCAAACAUGUUUUGCUGGAGAUACAUAAUUUUAUAUUUUAUAUCUCUGUCUCAGUUUUUCGUUAGAUUUACCAACUAGGCUUCUCGAGACAAGCCUGUUUAGAUUUAAAAGUGAUUUAUAGGAAUCUUAUAUGUUGUAGAUGAUUGAAUGCAAGGUGCAUCUACGGACCAAAAACAUUACAGUUUCAUCCAAGUUCUUUCUUUCAUACUUCCUAAUUGUGUUUAGAUGUAAUAAUGGCUUUGAUUUGAUCAGAAGUGGAGCGGUUUUCAGUUAUUCAAUGUCACAUUGGAGGUGCAUAAAGCUGCAAUAUAUGAUAAAUCACUCAAGAACAAGAAUCUGAAGGAAAGUGAUGAGAAGAAUGAUAAACUCUUUGUAGCCUUUGAAAUUGAUUCUGUUCCUGAGAGACGACCAUUUCUAUUAUCUAGAGAUUUUGUCCACGCACGACGUUCGGGCAGCAACGCCAAGGAGUUUCAAGUAAGUGUCGUGAGCUUUCAAACUAAUAAUUUGUAGAAUCUCUUUUAGUGAUAAAUAUUCAUAUCUUCUGCCAAAUUGAGAAUCUAUUUUAUGCUUCUUUCUCCCUAUGCUUUCAAAUUUUUGGAAUAUAAUUCUAGUCGCAGCUAUCAAUAUAAUUUAUAAAUUAUGACAUUUGAAAUUCUGCAAACCUACUUAAUUCAAACCUACUUAAUGCAAACUAUUGCUCAGUUUGAACUAUAGAUGAGUGAUGAGCAUAUAAUACAUACAUAUUUUACCAUUAAUUAAAUAAUUGUUAGCUAUAUUUAUUUGUUAUUUUUAAUUAAUUGAAUUAUUUUAUUGAAUAGGGAAUUAAUUGUCCAGACAUUUUGUUUUUCUGGUUGAAUAUCUUCGGAAAAUAUCUCCUUAAUUUUCCGAAUAUUUGUUUUCUCAAAUCCUGUCCAGGGUAUUCUUUACCGGGUGGUGAAGAGCAACGUAGUGUUGGUUGAGUUUGAAGAAGAUUUUUAUUCACUGCAUCAUCCAAAGUACAGAUACGAUAUUAGCUUCUCAUUCAACCGAGUCUGUUUGAAACGAGCUCACCAAGCAAUUGCAGCUGCAUCACGUUCUUUAUUUGAGAACUACCUGUUUCCUGAUUUUACCUCUAGAAAGAACAUCAGUUCCUCAGAAAUUUGUCUUUAUGGUAAUCGUAACCUUGACUCAGAUGGCAACUCUGCAGUUCGUCGGAUCCUAAGCUUACAUGGGAGGCCACCUUAUCUUGUAGAGGGUCCACUCUGUGCAACUAGUGACAAUCUAUCCAAAACUGGAUUGGUUGUUCGAGAAGCAGUACUUGAAAUUUAUAAGAGGUCAUCUAAGUGUCGAAUUCUAGUCUGUGCUCCUAUAAAUAGAACAGGUGAUGUAUUAAUGAGAAGUUUGAAGAAGAAGAUUCCAAAGUCUGAUAUGUUUCGAGCCAACGCUGCAUUCAGAGAGGUAGAUGGGGUACCAGUUGACAUCCUCCCCUUGUGCCUUUAUGAAGGGGGGGAGUGUUUUCAAUUGCCUUCACUUCAGGAAUUGAUGCAAUUCAGGGUAAUAUUCUCAACUUUUACAAGCAGCUUUCGCCUUCACAACGAGGGCAUACCUGCUGGGCAUUUUAGUCACAUUUUUCUUCUUGAUGCCUCAUCUGCUACUGAGCCAGAGACAAUGAUAGCUCUCACAAAUUUGGCUAAUGAGCACACGACCGUGAUACUCACCGGUACUCCUAAUAACCGUACGAGUUGGGUCCGCUCUGAUAUUGCUAGGAAGAAUGGAUUAAGGGUGUCAUAUUUUGAAAGACUUCAUGCCACCAAGACCUAUAGCAAUUUCAAUCCAAUGUUCAUUACUAUGCUGUAAACUUUGAGUACUGCAGUAACAAUAACCUCUGUUAUAACUUAGUUUACUUCCAUGAAUUUGUUACUACUGUGCCUGGUUGUAAAUGUGUGAAUGUAAGAACAUUUCUUUGAUCUGUUGCUUUUGCACUUAUUGCUCUAUCUAAUUCAUGCAGUCCAAUUCCAUGAUGAUUGAUUGUUUUCAUUUUCAUAGAUUAACCAAAAUUCAAGUCUUCAUAGAUUGUAUACAGGUCACAGUACUCCAUCUCUGGAUUAUUAGUCAUCUCCACAAUCCUGCACAACAGCCAGAAGGUAGCCCUUCUUCCAUUUGAUCUUCAUUUACUUUGAUGUCAACAUCGUUUAUAAUGUUUGCCUCCGCUUACAUUCGUGUAUUGCUUGGUCAUAGCUUUUAGUAUUUAAUGGGGUGUAAAAUACUUUUAACAUUUCAACAACAUGCAGUCUCUUCUUCAGAUUUAUUAUUUUUAAUUGUCUAACAAGUACACAGAGUUCUCUCAUUCAUUUAGUUUCAGAAUGAUAAUUACUUACAUUGGUUUAAUUAAGUUUAUCUAUUGAUUGUUCCAAACUUCAACCCCAAGAUUUCUCAUCAAAUGAACUAUAGGGAUUCAAACUAUCACUCUCUGCAUCUCUCUCUAAAAAUAAAUUGAUUUGCUGUUGAUUUAACUAAUAUGCCUGAUCCUCUAAUUAUUCCUUGAUUGUUACUUGCCUAGACUGUGGAGUUAAUUAGAUUUUAUAGAGCUCUACUCAGUGCGGCUGAUUAUUGUUAUAUUUUUGAUAAAACCAAAUAAAGGAAAGAUGCAUAAAUGGAUGUUCUUUGGUUGCAGAACAGCAUGUUCGUUGAAAUUUUGAGAUGCAUUCUUUGCUGUUCCAGUAAAGAUUGUCAUGAAACUGAAAGGGCUCCUGGGAGACAAACUCUCUACUCGGAACAUCGAAUCACAACACUUCUCUCAGGAAUUCUAGUUUUACUAACCACGAUCUACUGCGUCGAGAUGAUCCAAGCAAAUUCUAUUACUACGGAUAUUACCCGCAUGUAUCAAUUAGUAAGUAAACUACACAGCAGCCUAAUGCUAUGUCACAGCAAUCCGAAUAUGGUAACAAGUCGUCACUGAAAGGGAAUAAUGAAGAGUCUCAGUUUGAAGAGCUCAAGACCACCACCACCUUCAUCCUCCUAUUACACAUGUUCAUCAUCACCUAAUAAAUCACAGUCCUUGACACAAUUGUCAUCAUUCCCCGAACCUGCAUCUGCUUUGUCUACGCCAUUUCUAUCACCAAAAGGGCCCCCACUGUCAUCUUCUAGCACUUCAUAACCUGCAUCCUUCAUCCCAAGCAUCUUUGUCGUUGUCUAACCCUGCACUGUCUGCUCUCAGUCAAUCUUUAUCAUCACCUAAACCACCUUCAUUUAAUUCUGAACAACAUCAAUUACGUGCUAAGCCACCAGCAUCUCCAUCUCCCCGUAAAUCCUCUCAAUCUCUAUCUGGUUCUACUUUGACGACGAAAGACGCAGUGCCUAAAGUUUUGAAGAAGCCGUUGUCUCAGAAGGCUCCUUCAUCUUCUCAGCCUACCCUUUCUCCAUUCCCUUCUGAUUCAACAAAUCAGCAGAAAAAUGAUAGCUAUUUAUUGGUUGAGAAGGGCGCAUCCAAUUACAAGAUUCCUAAGGAUAUUGAAGAUUUGGUUAAGAAAGACAUUGUGCCUGACGUUUUGAAGAAGCCAUUGUCUCCCUCUACCUACAAAGAUUACUUUGCUGCACGGCUAGAUGCCGAGGAUUUCUACUAUGAGGUGACUAAUUAAUUAUGCCCUUUCUUCCUGUUUUACUUUAUUGUCUGAUUUCACGCGAUACAACCUCACUUCUACUAUCAUAUGUUGUAUAUAAUUUCUUUUCAUUGAAGACAUAUUUGUUCUGAUUAAUGCCGAACCACUCACUCAUGGUUAUGCUGCAAUUAAGAUGGUUUCUGAUUAAGUAAUCUAUGUACAUCAUAGUUAUGGAAAAGAUUUCAAAAUAGCCAGUACAAUUUACAAUGAAUCAAAGUUGACGCAUGGGAGCAUUAAAAAAUCUAGGGAGCUCUGUUAGAAAGGAUAUGAUUUGGGCUGGUAGCAGGUUGUAUUAAGCCAGAUUUCCGUUAUUCUGGGACCUCUUAAAGAAUCUAUCUAACCCGUCCGUGUAAGAAAUAGAACCAAACAGCAGAGAUUAUUAGAAUGGAUUAUAUUAUUUUACAAAAAAUGGCGCUAUCCACGCCCAACUAGUUUCCUUACAGAACCCCUUGAAAAACCAAUGAGAAAUUAUUACAGUGUAUCAGAUCAUAUUAACAAGAUUGGUGCUAUUUGCUCAUCACUUAUUUUCCUUAAUUAUAUUAAUACAAGUGAACUGAAAUAGUGAAAUGUUUAGAAACAUAAUUUGGAGAGUGUUGGAUUGGGGUUUGCUUCACUCAGGUGGGAAAGCAAAUUACGGGACAUCCAUAAUCCAUAGUUGCUUUAGACUUUCUGUAUACUUUGAUAUUUUACUGCAUUUUAAUUUACAUGAGAUGACAUGAUAAAUACAAAUAAUUACAAAUUUCAGAUAUUGUGACCAGUAUUUUUUUUAAUUCUUAUAUUUUGCCUAGAUGAUUUUGUGGAGAAACAGACUAUUGAUGUGACACCCUAGGCAAAUCUCACAUUGGUAAAGUACGAGAGAGAUGCUGGGUAUAUAAGGGGUGAUCUACACAUUAAUUGGCUUUGGGGUGUAUGGGCACCCCAUGAACAAAACCGUGCGGGCCUUAUUAAGGCCCAAAGCGGACAAUAUUUUACCAAGUUUGGGUUGGGUCAUAACAACUGAAUAUAAAUUCUUUCUCAUAAGAUAUAAAAAUAAGGGUGGGACAGAUGCAUUUUCAUUUUCCCUUCUUAAAUGGGUCCAAUUGUACUUGUAUUUAUGUGUUUUUCCCAUAUCUUUAUUUGUGCUUCUCUAUAGGAACUUUACUUGUAUUUUAUGUCUUUGAUUUGAUCAGAAGUGGAGUGAUUUUCAGCUAUUGAAUGUAACGUUGGAAUUAGGUGAAGCUACUCUAUAUGCUAAGUCACUCAAGAACAAGCAUUUGAAGAAGCAUGAUAAGAAAGAUGUUAGAUUCUUUGUAACCUUCGAAAUUGAUUCUGUUCCUGGGAAACGGCCAUUUCUCUUAUCUAGGGAUUUUGUUUAUGCACAAUGUUCAGGUGGAAUAUCAAGGAAGUUUCAAGCAAGUCUCCUUAUCUCACAAACAUAUAAUUUGUAGAAUCUCUUGCCGUGCUUUAGUGUGGUUGAUUUGCAUAUAAGCCAAAUUGAAAAUUCUAUUUUAUGCCUCUUUCUCCCUAAAUUUUGAAAUUUUUGUAGUAAUAUUAUAGUUACACAUUUCAAAAUAAAAUUUUAACAAUGCCAUUCGAAUUUUGAAAGCCUGCUAAUUUCACACUUGUUGUAAGAAUGGGAGCAUGAGGUAGGACAAUAAGAAAGGAUGGAUUAGUGAUAGAGUAGAAAAAAGAGCCCGUAAGUGGAAAAAGAAAUAGAGAGAAGAAAGGGAGAUACCCAUUUUUCAUUAUUCCAAUAACUAUCAUUUAUAAAACAAAAAUUAAUGCCCUAUUAUUGUGGCCAACAGAUAACUAAUAAUGGCAGACCAUAAUCAACUUCUUAGCAAAAAACGAAAUCUACUAGUAAUACAUGAUGAAAAAAUAAAUCAACCAAGGUAACUCCUUAUUCAGCAUUUCCUAAAUCUAUAUAACUUCAUUCUACAUCAUUGUGUCAUUUUGAUGGAAGCGACUGAACCUGACAGAUUAUAAUUUAAUUGUUGUGUGUGGCAUCCUAACAAAUCAACAUAAACUUCUGCUAGAUUUUUCAUACAAGUGAGUAAGUGCAUAAAUUUUUUACAUGACCACACAUUGAAGUCUGACCUUAUAUGGCCGUUUCAUUAAAAUUUUAUCAAUCCAACCAUUAUUUUUCAGUUUGAACUUCAGUUGAGGAACAAAUGCGCUGUUUAAGAACAUAUUAUAAUUUUUGCACAAGGACAUCCAUUGAGUUUAGUGACGAGCCAAACUAAGCCUGAUUGAUAUUUCCUUGAUAGAAAUUAUUUGAUCUUUUUCCAGUCAUGCAAUUUGGAAACUAAUUUUUCUACGUUUGAGACCCAUUUCCAUCUGGUUAAUCUCGAUUGAAUUUGUACGAAGUGGUAACAUGUAAUGUAGCUUGGACUUAGUCAUUUUGUUUUAUGGUUUCAUACCUCCAUCUUUUCCAGAAUACCUGACCGGGGUAUUCUUUGUCGAGUGGUGAACAGUACUAACGUGUUGGUUGAAUUUGAAAAAGGAAUUUUAUUCUCAGCACCAACAGAACUGCAAAUAUGAUAUUAGCUUCUCAUUCAACAGAGUGUUUGAAACGGGCUCACCAGUCAACUGCAGCUGUGUCAGAUCAGUUAUUCCAGAACUGCCUUUUCCCUGUUUUUGCCUGUCAUAAACAUAUACCUUCGUCAGAACCUCACUUUUACGGCAAUUGUAAACUUGAUUUGGAUGGCAAUUCUGCAGUGCGUCAGACAUUGAGCUUACAGGGCCAGGCGGCCAGCCACCUUAUCUUGUGGAGGAUCCACUCUGUGACUAGAAAGAAAAAAGGAAUUACAAGAUGAAGAUGUAUUUGAGUACGUACUUUCAAAAAACUGGAAAUGUUGUUCGAGAAGCAGUGCUCCAAAUUUGUCAGAGGUUACCAAAUAGUCGAAUUCUCAUAUGUGCUCCUUCAAACAGAACAUGUGAUGUGCUAAUGAAAACUUUGACGAAGGUUAUUCCAGAGUCAGAUAUGUUUCAGGCCAAUGCUGUAACACCCCAAUUCGACUAACAAGAUACUACGGUGAAAUUGAGGUGGAACUGCAUUUUAUCAAUCUAACUUCUAAAACCACCAAAACAACAUCCAAUGAUAAAUGUUCUAAAUAGCAUUUAGAGAAAUGGAUGAGGUAACAGAUGACAUCUUCCAGGUGUUGAAGGGACUUGUCCUCCACUUGAGCAACUGAGACAAUACGCGGUGAUAUCUUCAACUUUUGCGAGUCGCUUUCGCCUUCACAAUAAAGGCAUUACUUUUUUUUUUUGGGUCUUAACCACGAGCAGCAGUCGCAGGGUCUCAACUGUGGGAGACACUUUUAAGUAUGUAACACAAUUUAAAUUAGAAGUCUCGCUCGAAUCGGAAGGCACAUAUUCUCCCAACAAAGGUGACUUCCCAACUAUUCGAACUGAAAAACAAAUUAAAUCAAGCUACUUAAGGGGACUCUAUUGCUAAUGGAGCCAACGCCUUGUUGGUCAAUAAAGGCAUUACUGCUGGAUAUUUUAGUCACAUUUUUCUUGUUGAUGCAUCGCCUACCAUCGAGCCAGAUGCACUGAUAGUUCUCAGUAAUUUGGCAAAUGAGAACACGACUGUAAUAGUCUCUGGUGCUUCUUAUGACCAUCCACGUUGGAUCCGAUCUCAUAUUGCUAAGAAGAAUGGAUUAGAGAUGGUAUAUUUUGAAAGACUUUGUUUUUCCGAGGCAUAUAGGAGUUGCCAUCCAAUGUUUCUAUUCGCGGCUGUCAACUUCCAUAGAAUAAAUCCGAUAGUUGUCUUCCAUUCACCCAUAUCAAUCUGCUAGUGGAGGUAACUAACGGAAACCUCUCCUGUAACUAAUUUGCUGCUGCUCGUGAUGUUGUUACUACUUGCCUCGUGUAUGUAUGUGUGGAUGCGAGAACAUUUUCUCUGUAACGAUAGUUCAAUACUCGUUACUCUUUUAUCUAUUUAAGGUUGUGACAGCUGUUUGCAAUUCUUUAUAUACAAAGAUUAGACCGUUCUUAUCCGUUGGCAAAGAAAAUUAGCCCAUUAAAUUCAAGCCGAUGAAUACACCGCCAAGCAAGAGGCGCAGUGACAAUAUCAACUAAGCGCGUUCUGGUUUUGCUUAUUUUUAUUUUUAAAUAUGAACGGAAUUCACUAAUAUCCGUUAAAAGAAUAAGUCACGUGGGAAGGGGAACCUCGUACGCUCGUACUAAAAGCCCAAAAAUGAAAAAUCUCUCAAAAUAUGAACGCUCGCUUAUUUUUAAUCUUUUUUAUUGUAAAUAUAAUAAUACAUUUAUUGCUUUAUUGGUGGGAAUUGGAAAUUUGGAACCCCGGACUCCGCAAAAUUUCCGCUUUGGUCAGCUUUCACUGUCUCAUCUCAUCUAGUCAUUAAAGCCCUUGCCGCGGGCGCAAGUGAUGACGUGGCGAUACUUGGUUGGGUUUGUAUAAUACUAGAAACGUCCGAGCUCUUCUUUUUCCUGCCUACUCAUUCAUGGCUUUUGAAGUGCUUCACUUUCACUGUCACCGAGUUAUUUGAAGAACAUAAAGUCAGAAAAGCUGAUCCGACAAUCAUCCCCAUAAUCCCACAUCUGCACAACAGCCAGAAGGUAAUCCUUCUUCCAUUUGAUCUUCAUUUACUUUGAUGUCAACAUAGUUUAUUAUCUUUGCCUAUGGUUACAGUCGUGCAUAGAUUAGUCAUAGCUUCUAGUGUUUAAUGGGGUUCAAUUUACUUUUAACAUUUCAACAACAUGCAGUCUCUUUCUUGUUCAGACUUAUCAUUUUUAAUUGUGUAACAAAGACGAAGACUUCUCUCAUUCAUUUAGUUUCAGAAUGAUAAUUACUUUCUUUGGUGUAAUUAAGUUUAUCUAUUCAUUGUUACAAACUUCAACCCUAAGAUUUCUCAUCAAAUGAACUAUAGGGAUUCAAAUUAUCACUCUCUGCAUCUCUCUCUAAACAUAAAUUGAUUUGCAUGUUUGAUUUAAUUUAUAUGCCUGAUCCUCUAAUUAUUCCUUGAUUUUUAGUUGUCUUGGUUAAAAACAGACUGUAGAGUUAAUUAGAUUUCAUAGAGAUGUACUCAGUGCAGCUGAUUAUUAUUAUUGUUUAUUUGUAUUCUUGAUAAAACCAAAUAGAGGAAAGAUGUAUAAAUGCAUGUUCUUUGGUUGCAGAGCAACAUGUCUGUGCUCGUUAAAAUUUUGAGAUGCAUUUUUUGCUGUUACGAUGAAGAUUAUCAUGAUACUGAAAGGGACUAUCGGGCGAGAUUACUUGGAACAUAUAAUCACAACUCUUCUGUCGGGAAUUCUAGUUAUCACAACUCUUCUGUCAGGAAUUCUAGCUUUACUAAUCACGAUCUUCUGCGUCAACAUGAUUCAAACAAAAUCUAUUACUAUGAAUAUUAUCCGAAUGUGUCAAUUAGUGAGCCAACUACAAAGCAGCCUAAUGCUAUGUCACAGCAAACAGAAUAUGGUAACAAAUCGUCACUGAAAGGGAAUAAUGAAGUGUCUCAGAGUUUAAAGAGCUCAAGACCAUCACCACCUUCAUCCUCCUGUUACACAUGUUCAUCAUCACCUAAUAAAUCACAGUCCUUAACACAAUUGUCAUCAUUCCCUAACCCUGCAUCUGCUUCAUCUAAGCCAUUUCUAUCACCAAAAGGACCCGCUCCAUCAUCUUCCAGCAAUUCAUCUUCAUCAUUCCCUAAACCUGCAAUUCCUUCUUCAAAAGCAUCUUCAUCAUUGUCUAGCCCUGCAUCGUCUGCUCUUAGUCAGUCUUUAUCAUCACUCAAACCACAUUCAUUUAAUUCUGAUCAACAUCAAUUAACUGCUAAGCCACCUGAAUCUCUUUCUCCCUUUAAAUCAUCUCAAUCUUCAUCUGGUUCUACUUCGACAAAGAAUGACACUGCACCUAAAGUUUUGAAUAAGCCAUUGUUGCAGAAGGCUCCUCCAUCUUCUCAGCCUACCCUUGCUCCCCUCCCCCCUGAUUCAACAAAUCAGCAGGAAAAGGAUAGCUGUUUAUUGGUCGAGAAGGGCUCAUCCAAUUACAAGAUUCCUAAGGAUAUUGAAGAUUUGAGUAAGAAAGACGUUGUGCCUAACGUUUUGAAGAAGCCGUUGUCUCCAUCUACCUACAAAGAUUACUUUGCUGCACUGCCAUAUGCCGAGGAUUUCUACCAUGUGGUGAUUAAUUACUUAUGUCCUUUCUUCCUGAUUUACUUUAUUGUUUGAUUUCAUGCAAUACAUAUUCAUUUCUACCAUCAUCUGUUGUAUAUUCUUGUUGUUGGAUAUAUGGGUUCAGGAGGGCUCAUCAUCUGUUUACAUGCCUCCCAAGAAUAGUGAAAAUUUGAUGAAGAAAGAAGCUGCCCCUGAAGUUUUGAAGAAGCCAUCUUCUCCAUUGUCCCGGAAGACCCCUUCAUCUUUGAAGCCUGCUCUUUCUCCACUGCCUAAUGAUUGUACUAAUCAACAAACAAAAGGAAACCGUGUAUGGGUUCAGAAGGGCACAUCGCCUGUUUACUUGACUCAUAAGAAUAAUGAAAAUUUGAUGAAGAAAGAAGCUAUGCCUGAAGUUUUGACGAAGCCAUCUUAUCGAUCAUCCCAUAAGUCCCCUUCAUCUUCUAAUCCUACUCCUUCUCCCCUCCCCAGUGAUUCAACAAAUCAACAAACAAAAGGAAAUGACACAUGGGUUCAGAAGGGCACAUUACCUGUUUACAUGACUCCCAAGAAUAAUGAAAAUUUCAUGAAGAAAGAAGUUGUGCAUGAAGUUCUGAAGAAGCCAUCUUCUCCAUUGUUCCAUAAGGCUUCCUCAUCUUCUAAGCCCACGCUUUCUCCACUCCCCACUGAUUCAACAAAUCAGCAGAAAAAGGCUAGCUUUAUAUGGGUUCAGAAAGGCGCAACUAAUUACAAGAUUCCCAAGGAUAUUGAAGAUUUGAUCAAGAAAGACAUUGUGCCAAAAGUUUUGAAGAAGCCAUUGCUUCCAUCUACCUACAAGGAUUACUUUGCUGCGUUGCUAUAUGCUGAGGAUUUCUACGAAGAGGUGAUUAAUAAAUGAUGCCUUUGAUCCCCAUUUUUCUUUAUUGCAUGAUUUCAUGUGAGAUAAUCUCAUUUCUACCAUCAUAUCAUGUAUAUACUUGCUUUUCAUUGAAGACAUAUCUAUUGUGAUUAAUGCAAUACCACUCGCUCAUGGUUAUGCUGCAAUUAAAAUGGUCUCGGAAGAAGUCAUCUAUGUGCAAUUGUACAUCAUGUUAAUGGAAUAGAUUUUCAAAAUAAAUAGUACAUACAAAUACAAUAAAUCAAAGUUGAGUCAUGGGUUAGAUUGUUGAGAAUUCUAAGGAGCUCUGUUGAAAGGGAUAUGUUUUGAACUGGCAACAGGUUGGAUUGAAUCAAAUUUAUGUGUUGUGGGACCUCUUGAAGAAUCUAUCUAACCUGUUCGUAUAAGAAAUUUAGAACCAAACGGCAUAAAUUAUUAAAGAGUUCUUUAGGUUAUAUCAUAGUGAAUGGUGCCAUCCAUACCCAAUUAAUGUUACUUGCAGAACCCCUAGUAAAACCACUGAGAAAUUAUUAGUUUGCAUCAGAUUAUAACAAGAUUGGUGCAAUUUGUACAUCACUAAUUUCCUAAAACUGAAAUGUUUAGGAACACGAUUUUCAGAGUGUUGGCUUGAGGUAUAUUUCAGUCAGGUUCGAAAACAAACUGAAGGAAAUCCAAAAUCUAUUUACCGUCUUUUGCUUAACAUAAGAUAGCAUGAUGAAUAAAAAGAUUGGAAACUCUGAUAUUUUGAAUAGUAAGUUGUUUCUUUAUUGUUAUUUUUUGGUUAGAUUAUUCCCCAUGGGCGCAAAUUAUUGGGACAGAUGCUUUUAUUCAGUGAAUGCAGUUCAGUUGUAUUUGUAUUUAUGUAUUCUGUCAUAUCUUUAUUCUUGUAGGUAUUCUUCCAAGCUUCUCUAUCCAAAGCUUACAUUUUUAUAAUAAGAUGAUUAGAUGUUGCUGUGGACUGAAAACUUUCAUCAAAGAUUUUUCAUGCUUUUCUAACAUUUUAGAUAAUUUUUUUGGCUUUCAUUGUGAUCAGAAGUGGAGCGGUUUUCAGUUAUUCAAUGUCACAUUGGAGUUGCAUAAAGCUGCAAUAUAAACUCUUUGUAGCCUUUGAAAUUGGAGUGAUGAGACGGAUGAUAAACUCUUUGUAGCCUUUGAAAUUGAUUCUGUUCCUGAGAGGCGACCCUUUCUUUUAUCUAGAGAUUUUGUUUAUGCACAACGUUCAGGUGGCAAAUCCAAGAAGUUUCAAGUAAGUAUCCUGAUCUUUCAAACUUUUGAUUUAUAAAAUCUCUCGCCGUGCUUUGGUGACAAAUGUGCAUAUCAGCCAAAUUGAAAAGAAAGAUAGAGAAUGAAAAAAUAAAAAAUGUAGAGAAUAGUGAAAGUGAUGCAGAGCAAGAAAUUGAAGAAAUCCUAAUUAUAUUUAAAUGUAUAAUAUUUAGGAAUAUUUUAAUUAAUUUGUAUUCUAGUUUAAUUUGGUUUCCUAUUUAGAGUCUUAUUGUUUAGGUAUUGCUUAUUUGGGUAAUAUUCCUAAUUUAGGCAUAAGUAUUAUUAAAAUAGGUUUUCUAAUCAUAUUAGGAUAAGUCUUACUUAGUAUAAAUAAGUGUCUUUUGUAGCUUUUACAAGCAGAGAAUUUUGAGUUUAAUAAUAUUUCAAUUUUCAAAUCUCUUUGUGAGUAUUUGAACAGUUAAUUCUCGGUAUUCUGCGGAAUCAACGAGUCUUAAUCCCUAAAUUCGCGGUAUUCUUUUGAAUCAACGUGGGUUUAGUUGUUCUAAUGAUAGAACCCUCUGCUGUACGGCCAAGGCGGAUGUACGGUACAGCAGAACGGAAUAUUUUGAACAUUAAACUUCCGCUGCAUCAGUUUGUUAUGAAGUUGAUUUGGAUCAAUCGCCGAAAUUUGAUGAGUAUCUUGAUAUUGUGGGACGAGAAGAGGUAAUUGUUCAUCCAUCUUUUGAUCUUGUGGAGGAGAGAGAGAUAGUCGUUGAUACAAUCUCUUAUUGUUCUCUUGAUUUGCCGAAAGAAGACAAAAAGAGUUGUGAUAUUUUUCAACAAUUAGUGGAUUAUGAAAAGAAAUUGUUUUUCUUCAACUAUGUUGAAGUUCGACACGAACAAUAUGAGAAGACAUUAUUAGAGAAGUUGUUGAUAGAAGAAUUUAUUUUACGCUAUUGGAGUGAUUGGAUGGACGUUAUUACAAAAGUUGGAAAAUUUAAAGUUCGUUGUCUAUGUCGAAGCUCUAUUUUAAAAAUUAAUCCUUAUGCACAUGAAGAUGUUCUUGAAGACUACAACAUACAAAAUUCGAGGACGAAUUCUCUCAAGCCUGGCGGGAAUGAUGCAGAGCAAGAAAUUGAAGAAAUUCUAAUUAUAUUUAAAUGUAUAAUAUUUAGAAAUAUUUCAAUUAAUUUGUAUUCUAGUUUAAUUUGGUUUCCUAUAUAGAGUCUUAUUGUUUAGGUAUUGCUUAUUUAGAGUCUUAUUAUACUAGGAUUAGUUUCCUUAUUAACUAAAGUUUAAGACUUUUAAAUUCCUUUCUAAUUUAGAAUUUUGUUUCCCUUUCAAUUUAGGAUUUUGUUUUACUUCAUGAAUUAGGAUAAUUACUACUACUAUAAAUAGCUCCCUCUUGUAGCCUUUGAAAGCAGAGAAUUUUGAGUUCAAUAACAUUUCAAUUUUCAAAUCUCUUUGUGAGUAUUUGAACAGUUAAUUCUCGGUAUUCUGCGGAAUCAACGAGCCUUAACCCCUAAAUUCGCGGUAUUCUUUUGAAUCAACGUGAAUUUAGUUGUUCUUUUAUUCCGGUAUUCUCUAGAAUCAACGGAAUAUUUUGAACAUUAAACUUCCGCUGCAUCAGAAAGUGAGUAGAGAGAAAAGUCCAAGUGUGGAAAAAGAGAUGGAUAGAAGUGAGGGAGAUACCCAUUUUUUGUUAUCUCAAUAAAAAUCAUAAUAAAAUACAUAGUUUUAGUCCUAUUUAUUUUAGCCAACAAAGAACCAAAAAUACAACUUCUAACCGAAGAGAGAUCUGCUACUAAUAAGUGAUGAAAACUAAAUCAAUUAGCCAAAAUAAAUAAGGAGAAAUAAAAAUUCAAAAUUAAACUUAUUCCUAACUCAACAACUGGACCUGACAGAUUCAUGUUCUGUAGUCCCUGAUAAGUUAACAAGACUAUCUCUUGAAUUUCAUACAAGUGAUCAAGUGCAUAAACUUUUUACGUAUAAGUGGCAUCUAAUUUGGCCAUUCCUUUCGAUUUUUAUGUAACCAACCAUUUUUUUGGUUUGAACUUCAGAUUAAAGAACAAAUGCUCUGUUUUAAGAUAGAUUAUAAUUUCGCACAAGGACACCCAGUAAGCUUAGCAUUUUGCUGGUCAUGUAACUUUGAAACUAUUUUUUGUACAUAUCUGGAUCAUUUUCCAUCUGGUUAAUCUUGAAAGGAUUGGUACAAAUUGAUAACAUCAAAACUAGCUAGGUCAUCGUCAUUCAAUCAUUUUGUUUGUUGUUUAUUGUUUGUUCAUAUUUCCAUCUUUUCCAGAAUAUUUAUGUUCGCAAAUCCUGACCAGGGUUUCCUUUAUCGAGUGGUUAAGUGGACUACUGUUUUAGUUGAAUUUGAAGAAGAUUUUCAUUCUCAGCAUCAACCCAACCACAAAUAUGAUGUUAGCUUCUCAUUCAACAGAGUCUGUUUGAAACGGGCUCACGAAGCAGUUGCAGAUGCAUCAGAUUCUUUAUUCAGGAACUACCUUUUUCCUGAUUGUGCCUCCAGAAAGAGCAUCCCUUACCCAUCACUUUGUCCUUAUAGCAAUUAUAAACUUGAUUCGGAUAGCAAUUCUGCAGUGCAUCAGAUAUUAAGCUUUGAGGGCCAGUCACCUUAUCUUCUAGAGGGUCCACUCUGUAAUAAUUUUGUACUUUCAAAAACUGGAAAUGUUGUUCGAGAAGCAGUGCUCCAAAUUCGUCGGCGCUCGCCUAAGAGUCGAAUUCUUAUAUGUGCUCCUUGGAACAGAACUUGUGAUAAGCUAAUGGAAUGUUUGAUGAAGGAUAUUCCGGCAUCAGAAAUGUUUCGAGCCAAUGCUGCAUUCAGAGAAGCGGAUGGGGUAUCAGAUGAAAUCUUUCAGGUAUCACUUGUUGAACGGGAGUGUUUUUCUUGUCCUCCACUUGAGGAACUGAGGCAAUAUAAGGUGAUAUCUUCAACUUUUGUGAGUAGCUUUCGCCUUCAUAAUCAAGGAAUAACUGCUGGGCAUUUUAGUCACAUUUUUCUCAUAGACGCGUCGUCUGCCACCGAGCCAGAGACAAUGAUAGUUCUUGGUAAUUUGGCUAACGAGAACACAAGAGUAAUAGUCACUGGUGCUCCCCAUAACAGUCCAAGUAGGGUUCGAUCGGAUAUUGCUAGGAAGAAUGGAUUAAAGAUGUCGUAUUUUGAAAGACUUUGUCUGACCGAGGCAUAUAGGAGUUGCAACUCAAUGUUCUUCUCUCAACUUUUCACAGAAGAAGUCGGAUAGCUUUCUUCCAUUCCCCCAUAUCAGUCUGGUAGCGGAGUAACUAACAGAAACCUCUCCUGUAACUAAUUUGCUGCUCAUGAUGUUGUUACUACUUGCGUUGUGUAUGUGUAGAUGCGAGAACGUUUCCUCUGAGAGUUCAAUACUUGUUAGUGUUUAUAUACAAAGAUUAGACUGUUCUCAUUCAUUGACCGAGAAAAUUAGCCCAUAAAACUCAAGCUGAUUAAUACACCACUAAGCAAGAGGCCCUGUGACAAUAAACUAAGCGCGUUCUGGUUUUACUUAUUUUUAUUUUUUAAUAUGAUCGGAAUUCAUUGAUGAUCCAUUCAAAGAAUAAGUUGCACUUUGUAAUGAAGUCUUUGAAAUGAGAAAAACAAGUCAUGUGGAUCUACAUGAAGAUGUACGCGGCCCCACUUGCACUUUUUGUUAAAAUUACGUGGUCUCGGUCCUCUCUUUGGCUGGGUUUAUUUCACUCAAAGCCAGAAAUAUUAUGCUCGUGUGGGUGUCUAUAAAUAUGGAUGAGGCUAAGUUGCGGCUUCUGCAAGUAACAGCUUUGGCAGGGUAAGCUUGCAUGACCUUGCAUCAGCAGCUUUUUCUCUCUCAUCCAACACGCGUGCAAGCUUUCCAUUUGCUAUAUUACAAACAGAAUCUGUGACAUAGUCCAUACUAUAUGGAUUUAUAUACACACGCACACAAGUUUUUCCUCAUCUUCUCCUGCAGUAAAGUGCUUUGCCUUUGGACUCUUCUUUAGUGCUUUCACAAAAAUUGUCUUUAGUACAAAUAAAAAUAAAAAACGGAUCCUUGACUACUAGCAUUCUUGAUCUGCUCAAGAACCAAAUGGUAAUUAUAUUGCAUUUGAUCUUCAUUAAUUUUUAUUUCAAGAAUUAAAAUCUUUUCAUCUUAUGGAAGAAUAGUUUGAGUUUCAUCUUACUUGAACAUAGAGUCAUGCAUGCUUUAUUUGAUUGCUAGUUCUUCUGUUUUUAGGGGAGCUUAAUCUUCUGUCCACAUACUUUUAACAUUCAAUUAACUUGUACUAAUAUAAUACGAUUUUACAUUUUCUCAUGCACUUUGGUUCAGUAUGAUUGCUUAAAUUUUAUCAAAUGAUGUUUAAAAUUCUCUUACAUUACUAAUCAACAAUUUUUUUAUGGGUUCAUUUAUCCUCUAAUUGGCCCCCCUGAUUUCCACUAUAAGUAAUCUUGGUUACAGAGAAACUUCAGUUUCUGAUUUUCAUCAUUUGGAUAAUGUCAAUUUGAUUAAAUGCAUUACACAGUAACUUCAUUGUUUCUUCUUCCUCACCAAGACGUAUAAAGUUGAUGUUGUCCGGCAGUGUGUGUGCAUUAGGCGAAAUUUUGCUAUACAUUUUCGAGGACCAAGAUCAUGGAACUAGUAAUGAGACUUCAGAGAUAGACCCUUCACUCGGAUCACCUUCCUACAACACUUCUGUUAGGAAUUCUAGUCUUGAGAAUAAUGAAGCAUCUUCAUCGUUCUCUAGACCUGCAGAAUCUUCAUCAUUCUCUAGACCUGUAGCAUCUCCACUUAGUUCUGAUCAACCUCGAUCAUCAGCUUCUUCACCAUUCUCUAGGCCUGCAGCAUCUCCACUUACUUCUGAUCGACCUCGAACAUCGGCAUCUUCAUCAUUCUGUAGACCCGCAGCAUCUCCACUUAGUUCUGAUUAACCUCGAUCCUCAGCGUCUUCACCAUUCUAUAGACCUGCAGCAUCUCGACUUCUGGUCAACCUCGAUCACCAGCAUCUUCACCAUUCUAUAGACCUGUAGCAUCUUCAUCGACUUCUGAUCAACCUUGAUCAUCAGCUAAGUCAACUGCAUCUUUAUGUGGUUUAUCUCAAUCUCCUUCCAUGCCAACUUCAUCAUCCCAAAAAGCUCCUCAGUCCUGUAAGCCCACUCUAUCUUCACUCAGCUUUAAUCUAACAAAUCAAUAGAAGAAAGCUAAAUAUACAUGGAUUCAAAAAGGGACAUCACCUAUUUACAUGAUCCCUAAGGAUAUUGAAAGUCUAAUCAAGAAAGAUAUUGUCCACUUUCUCAUUUCAUACAAAACUUAAUGCAUAUUCAUUCUUGUGCGAAUGAACUCUCGCAUAUACUUUCUGCUGUCCACAUAAUUUAGCUAAACACAUAAUAACACAUCACGUAAAUACAUAGGCAAAAUCAUAUAAAUUCAUAUCCGUACAUAUCAAAUAUAGGUUUUUUAAACUUGUCAAACAUGUACAUAUUGUUUAUUAUGAUUCAUUUAGAAGUUUAGUUUACUUAUGUCUUGGCAUCCACGUAUAAAAAAUGCAUAUUGAUAUAAUCGACCUAAAAAUCAUUAACAAAACUCUGAUUAGAUAUAAUCACAUUAUAAUCAUAAACUCUAAUAGCAUCAAAUUUUACAAGGCAUAUGCUGACAUAUUAGAAAUUCAAUGCUUAAACCUUCAUAGCUUAAUUCCUUCAAAAACUUUUGAAAAUAAUUACGUUUCAAACAUCAUCAAUUUUGUCAAAUAGUUUUCUGUUUCGAACAUAUUUGUUUUAAAAGUACAAAACAAUUUUUUGUUUUAUCAUAAAAUCAUGAAAUUUUCCUAAAUCACUCUAGACAUACAUAAAAAUCACUAGUCCAAAUUUCAUCAUUUUUGAAUAAAUCUAGCUUCGGUAAAAUAGUUUCGUAAUUCAUGUUCUUCACUGAAAUUAGAAAUUUUCAGGUUUUUAGACUUGAGUUAAAAAAAUCGUAAUAAAUUGAAUUCUUAUAUGAUUAGUCGAAACAAACUUCAAAAUAUUCUUGAAGAUGUCUAAUUUAACAUAUCCAAAAUCCAGAAUCAAAAUCAAUAUGUACAAAUUACUAUGAUUUUCGAAAUAACUCAUUGUCAGCAUAUUUUCUGCAAAAUUUUAAAUUUCUAUUUCUACUACAAUUAUCUAAUCAUACUUCUUCAUAAUAAAUUAACAAAAACCAAGAAUUGAAAUUUACCUCUAAUCUUCUCCCAACAUAAUAUCAAAUUCAAAUUACACAACUUUGAUCUCAUGUGUUGCUUAGGGCCAUUUGACGAAGAAGACUUCUUCUCUUUUUCUCUUCUUCUCUCUCUUUGCUCUCUUCUUCUUUCUUUCUUUUUUUUAGCCGAUCUCUUUCUCUCUCUUCAAUGAUAAAGGCAAAGCAUCUUAUUCUUUUUAUACUAAAAUACAAAGACCACUAACAAAUUGAAAAGACUAAAAUACCAUUAAGAGAAUUGAGAUAUUACAGUACAAGUUGGUUCUGCACUGAUAUUGCUCGGAAUAAUUGGUUAAGGAUGUCAUAUUUUGAGAGACUUCGUGUGACCGAGGCCUAUAGCAGUUCUGACCCAAUGUUCAUUACAAUGGUGUAAACUUUGAGAUGAACUCUUUUAUCCUUCUGUUGUCGUAAAUCUUAUCUGCUAUUGCAGCAACAGCAACCUCUAUUAUAACUUAGUUUUCCUCUCGUGAAUUUGGUACAAUGCCUUGUUGUAAUUGUCUGACUGCAAGAUUAAUUGAUUUGUUAUUUUCGUACUAGUUGCUCUAUCUAGUUCAUGCAUUCCAUGAUGAUUGAAUGUUUUCUUUCUCAUGAAUCAACAAAAAUUGAAAUCUUCAUAAAUUGUGUGCAGGUCGUUGCAUUUUCUGUCUCCAUUUUAGUUCUGUUCUGACUAUCAUAAUAGAACUCAUGCGCUUGAGCGGGCUGACUACUUCGAUUUUGCCGGUAGAAGUAUCAUAACCACCAAUAUUGGUUUGGAGGCAUCUUUUGCCAGUAGAUUCAUCUUGUCGAUCAAGAUUGGAUUUGGAUUUUGGAGGCGUCUUUUAAUGGGUGAAACGAUAUGUUGAUGUUAGAAUCUUUUAGUUCGUUUGUUAAGGAAUAAGGAUUAUGAUACAACCCCAAUAUUACAGUUAGACAAGCCCAACUCAGCUAGCUCUAUCAAUAGCGAGGAAAAGGCCCAGGCAAACUCAAGUGAGGCUAUCCAAAACCGACCCCAAGAUAACAUCAAGCCAAGUCGCGUAAGGAAGCCUCCCAAAUGGUUCAAGGAUUACACACACUGAGCAUAUAUGAGCAGAGGAUUCGGUUUCUAACGGCUUUAGCUAUUUAGAGAAUAAUUCUUUGUUAUAGAGAGAGGUUGUUAUUUAGUUUUGACAGCUGUGAGCAUAUUCUUGCUGCUAUAAGUAUUUCCAUGGUUGUAUUUGAUGAUAUAUAUAAAAUUCUGGACUCAGUUUCUUCUUCUUCUCUGAAAUUUUCUCUCUAUUCUCUCUUGCCAUUCACUCGUUUCUUUAAAAUUCUGGGAGCUUGCACUUGCUUGAAAAGUGUGGAAACCUUGCUGUUCGGUGUGCUCACCAGCGGCAUAACAGAUUAAGAACCGCAAGAGGGUUAAUCAGAAUAAGCAUAUUAUGGGAUGAGAGAAUAUCAUGCCACAAAAUUAGCUUUUUGCUUGGACUUAAUUUAAAAGUUGGCAUCUAAUUAAUUAACCCGGAGAAGAAUAAGAGACGUGCGUGGCAGUAUAGAAGUGGAACCUCCUACAGUUAAGAGUCUUGUUCAAUUAAAAAAAAAAACUUUUUCAGCUUACUGACAACUCUCAUCCACUCUAUUUAUAUGCCGCACAUGGGUCCACAUGAUGACGUGGCCUCACUUGGUUGAGUUUUCUAUGCAAGAAACAAUAUGCUUUCAUCUCCCAUGCAAAGCUUUUAACUUCUGGAUUCUUGAGUUGUGUUGGAGUGCCUUUUAUACUGUGUGUAAGUCGUUCUUUGGAAAGGAAGAUUAAACUGAAAAACCACUUGUGUAAUUGUGUUCCAGUAUUCUCAUCUGUAACAAAAGAACCAGGAGGUAAUCAAUCGUGCUUUUGAUCUUCACUUAUUUUGAUUUCAGGAUAGUUUCAUCUUACUAGCACUUACAGAGUCAUGCAUGAGUUUAUUGAUUUCUUUAAUGGUGUUCAAUCUUCUUUAUUUUGCUUUCGCCGCAGGAUGUUUAAGUGGAUGUUCAUAGGCUGCGCAGUGUAUGUGUUAGGUAAAAUUUUGCGAUACAUUUCAAGCGACCAAGAUCAUGGAACUGAAAGUAAGAUUUCGAAGGGAGACCCUUCACACGGAUCAGCUUCACUUAACACUUCUGUUAGGAAUUCUAGUUAUGAGAAUAACGAUCGGCAAGACCAAUCUGAUCGAACCCAAAUCAAGUACUACGAUAAUUACCCGAAUUUACCAACUAGUAGCUCAACUACAAAAAGGAGUGGAGCUGUGUCUAUUGAAUCAGAAUAUGUUAACAAGUUUAUGGAAGGAACUGAUGAAGCGUCCUCGAGAUUGAAAUAUAGAACAUCACAACCUCCAUUUUCCUCUAAGCCAUCACUCCCUAAACCCGCAUCAGUUUCUUCUAAGCCAUCCGUAUCUCCAACUGAACCUCCACCAUCAUCUUCUAGUCCUAAACCUUCAAUUCCUUCUUUUAAAGCAUGCUCCUCGUUCUCUACACCCGUGGCACCUCCCCUUACUUCUGAUCAACCUCGAUCAUCUGCUAAGCAAUCUCCAUCUUCAUGUGGUCCAUCUCAAUCUCCCUCCGUGCCAACUUCAUCAUCCCCGAGCACCCCUGAGUCCUCUAAGCCCACUCAGUGUCCACUCUGCUUUAAUCCAACAAAUGAGCAGAUGAAAUCUAAUAAUACACGGGUUCCGAAGGGCGCAUCAUUCCCAAAAGCCCCUCAGUCCUCUAAGCCCACUCGGUGCCCAUUCUGCUUUAAUCCAACGGAGGACCAGAUGAAAGCUAACUAUCCCAAGGAUAUUGAAAGUCCGAUCGAGAAAGAUAUUGAGCCUGAAGAUUUGAAGAAUCCAUUGUCUCAGAAGGCGCCUUCAUCUUCUCAGCUUACCCUUUCUCCGCUUCCUCCUGAUUCAAAAUAUCAGCAGGAAAAUGAUCGCUAUAUAUUGGUCGAGAAGGGUGCCUCUAAUUACAAGAUUCCUGAGGAUAUUGAAGAUUUGAUCAAGAAAGACAUCGUGCCUGACGUUUUGCAGAAGCCAAUGUCUCCAUCGACUUACAAAGACUACUUUGCUGCUCUGCUGUACGCUGAGGAUUUCUACAUUGAGGUGAUUAAUUAACAGUGACCUUUUUGCAUGUUAUUCUUUCUAG
This 22159-nucleotide long non-coding RNA is filed under the name Citrus sinensis (sweet orange). Its description in RNAcentral is "long non-coding RNA (CSIN_LNC002936)". The record is from RNAcentral. Lineage: Eukaryota; Viridiplantae; Streptophyta; Magnoliopsida; Sapindales; Rutaceae.